RNAcentral lists this ribosomal RNA (446 nucleotides) under uncultured bacterium. RNAcentral describes it as "partial 16S ribosomal RNA". It matches the Rfam family "Bacterial small subunit ribosomal RNA", at positions 29 to 523 of the family's 1533-position model. The record is from RNAcentral.
AACGAACGCUGGCGGCAGGCCUAAAACAUGCAAGUCGAACGAACCUUCGGGUUAGUGGCGCACGGGUGCGAACGCGUGGGAAUAUGCCUCUGGGUGCGGAACAACGUCGGGAAACUGACGCUAAUACCGCAUAAUAUCUACGGAUCACAGAUUUAUCGCCCAGAGAUUAGCCCGCGUCUGAUUAGGUAGUUGGUGAGGUAACGGCUCACCAAGCCGACGAUCAGUAGCUGGUCUGAGAGGAUGAUCAGCCACACUGGAACUGAGACACGGUCCAGACUCCUACGGGAGGCAGGAGUUAGGAAUAUUGGACAAUGGGGGCAACCCUGAUCCAGCCAUGCCGCGUGUGUGAAGAAGGCCUUAGGGUUGUAAAGCACUUUCAGCUGUGAAGAUAAAGACAGUAACAGCAGAAGAAGCUCCGGCUAAAUUCGUGCCAGCCGCCGCAGUAA